ACUCCUACGGGAGGCAGCAGUGGGGAAUAUUGCACAAUGGGCGCAAGCCUGAUGCAGCCAUGCCGCGUGUAUGAAGAAGGCCUUCGGGUUGUAAAGUACUUUCAGCAGUGAGGAAGGCGGGUACGUUAAUAGCGUGCUCGUUUGACGUUAGCUGCAGAAGAAGCACCGGCUAACUCCGUGCCAGCAGCCGCGGUAAUACAGAGGGUGCAAGCGUUAAUCGGAUUUACUGGGCGUAAAGCGCGCGUAGGUGGCUAAUUAAGUCAAAUGUGAAAUCCCCCGAGCUUAACUUGGGAAUUGCAUUCGAUACUGGUUAGCUAGAGUAUGGGAGAGGAUGGUAGAAUUCCAGGUGUAGCGGUGAAAUGCGUAGAGAUCUGGAGGAAUACCGAUGGCGAAGGCAGCCAUCUGGCCUAAUACUGACACUGAGGUGCGAAAGCAUGGGGAGCAAACAGGAUUAGAUACCCUGGUAGCUACGAGU
This 475-nucleotide ribosomal RNA is filed under the name uncultured bacterium. RNAcentral describes it as "bacterial SSU rRNA". It matches the Rfam family "Bacterial small subunit ribosomal RNA", at positions 335 to 800 of the family's 1533-position model. The record is from RNAcentral.